Molecule: long non-coding RNA, 279 nt
Filed under: Vigna radiata
Lineage: Eukaryota; Viridiplantae; Streptophyta; Magnoliopsida; Fabales; Fabaceae
Description: long non-coding RNA (VRAD_LNC003862)
Source: RNAcentral
AUGAGUGGUGGCUCCCUCUACGUCUCUCUCUCUCUGAUCUCUGAUCUGUUUUGUGUUUGUUUUGUUUGGGAAUGGGGUGUGGUGUGGAAGUGAGGAAGCGUGAUUAUGUGAAAGUAGUCGAGUCGAGUAUGUCCAAGUCUAUCUGGUGGGCCCAGGGAGAUCUGAAGAAUAACCAAUGUAACAGUGACACGUGGAGAGGCUUAGCCGAAUAUAGACCCUACAAUAAAUUUAGGGGUGGGGAAGCAACUGUACGUAGGAGAAAGAGGGUUUUGGGUUCGG